GACGAACGCUGGCGGCGUGCCUAAUACAUGCAAGUCGAACGAACCGCGACUAGGUGCUUGCACUUGGUCAAGGUGAGUGGCGAACGGGUGAGUAACACGUGGGUAACCUACCUCAUAGUGGGGGAUAACAGUCGGAAACGACUGCUAAUACCGCAUAGGACAUAGGAUCACAUGAUCCAGUGAGGAAAGGUGGCGCAAGCUAUCGCUAAGAGAUGGACCCGCGGUGCAUUAGCUAGUUGGUAGGGUAAAGGCCUACCAAGGCGAUGAUGCAUAGCCGACCUGAGAGGGGGAUCGGCCACAUUGGGACUGAGACACGGCCCAAACUCCUACGGGAGGCAGCAGUAGGGAAUCUUCCGCAAUGGACGCAAGUCUGACGGAGCAACGCCGCGUGAGUGAAGAAGGUCUUCGGAUCGUAAAGCUCUGUUGUUAGAGAAGAACAGCGCAUAGAGUAACUGUUAUGCGUGUGACGGUAUCUAACCAGAAAGCCACGGCUAACUACGUG
RNAcentral lists this ribosomal RNA (502 nucleotides) under uncultured bacterium. RNAcentral describes it as "partial 16S ribosomal RNA". It matches the Rfam family "Bacterial small subunit ribosomal RNA", at positions 28 to 507 of the family's 1533-position model. The record is from RNAcentral.